AUUGAACGCUGGCGGAAUGCUUUACACAUGCAAGUCGAACGGUAGCACGGACUUCGGUCUGGUGGCGAGUGGCGAACGGGUGAGUAAUGUAUCGGAACGUGCCCAGUCGUGGGGGAUAACGUAGUGAAAAUUACGCUAAUACCGCAUACGAUCUAUGGAUGAAAGCGGGGGAUCGCAAGACCUCGCGCGAUUGGAGCGGCCGAUAUCAGAUUAGGGCGUUGGUGGGGUAAAGGCCCACCAAGCCAACGAUCUGUAGCUGGUCUGAGAGGACGCCCAGGCGAGCGUGUACUGAGACACGGUCCAGACUCCUGCGGGAGGCAGCGGUGGGGUAUUGUGGAAAAUGGGCGAAAACCUGAUCCAGCCAUUCCGCGUGCAGGAUGAAGGCCCUCGGGUUGUAAACUGCUUUUGUACAGAACGAAAAGGUUUCUACUAAUACUAGGAGCUCAUGACGGUACUGUAAGAAUAAGCACCGGCUAACUACGUGCCAGCCGCCGCAGUAA
RNAcentral lists this ribosomal RNA (500 nucleotides) under uncultured bacterium. Its description in RNAcentral is "partial 16S ribosomal RNA". It matches the Rfam family "Bacterial small subunit ribosomal RNA", at positions 30 to 523 of the family's 1533-position model. The record is from RNAcentral.